Molecule: long non-coding RNA, 1521 nt
Organism: Sycon ciliatum
Lineage: Eukaryota; Metazoa; Porifera; Calcarea; Leucosolenida; Sycettidae
Exons: 3
Source: RefSeq, a predicted model, not a curated record
AGAGGAGGAGGCUGCGAGAGGCCGUGGUGGACGUGUACUUGUGCAGAGCCUGGAAAUAGCCUCACUUUAGAUGUAUGCACAUUCAAACGGUGGAUGCUUCCCGCCAUCCUUUUCCCCCUCUUUUUCCUUUUCCCGCCAUUCUUUACCCCCUCUUUUUCAAUUUCCCGCUCUUCUUUUCCCCCUCUUUUUCCCCCUUUUUCUCCCCUUUUCCCCCUUUUCUGCGAGAAGAUUAGCCCCCUCCUUGCGCAACGCCGCUAGCGCGCUCUGCUAGCAUGCUGUAGAUCUACUGCCGUACUGGUUCGCAUCGCUAUUUCUAAUAAGUAUUACUAUUACUUUUUAUUUUUUAGUAUUAGUUUUGGCUCAUAAUAGCCAUGGUUUGGCGGGUAUGCUAUGUUGCUGCUCGUCCAUUCUACUAACUGUAGUGUAGAUAUUAUAUUCCUUAUGCAAAGAGCUUUCCAGGUUUGUGAAAAUUGACCCAGAAUGUUGAAGUCACAAGUUUGUUGUUUUGACGUUGAAAAAGACUGAGUGGAGGAGCCCGAAAGUCUUCAAGUUAUGCUGGUCAGGAAGAAAUCCCACCCAAAGUCCGGGUACUGGUGAGCUGUGACAGCGCAAGGAUGUCCUGCCGAAGCAACAAAAAAUACUUUGUAUAAUUGGCACAUACUCACUGCUUGAUACUGACCGACGAUAAUAGUCCAAUAUCCAUCAUUGAAAGGGAUGAACACUGGAUUAUGCUGUCGAGGGGAAUCAGUCAUUGAAGGAAGCAACUGUUGUCGUUUCAUCCUGACCUGCGGCGCCUGUCACAUGGUUACAGUCACUGUCAGCCUUCUUCAGCUGUACAUAUCCCAUGCUGCUAUUCUGCUCAAGCUGUCUGUCAUCUUCAAUACCACCCCAAUACGACAACACCACUGGCAAUCUAGAACUCGCGGAGCAAGGCUGGAUCUCCGUCUGCUUUGGACGCUUCCUAGUGGUCAACAUCAUCAGUGCAAUGCUGGACUUUGCUUUGGGCUAGAAUGCUGCUGCAGCUGAAGUGGAGAUAUAGUGACUCAGUGCUGAGUGAUUUGGAUGCCCUUUCCCCGACUGGGCUGUUCUCAAGCAGCAGCUGGUUCCAACUGCAAUCAGACCAUUUGUCGGGUCACGGUCUGACAUUCACUUGGUAGCAUUGAAAGAAGAUGACGAUGUGUCCUUGCUCUUAGUGAAGUUCAGCCAUUGCCGCCCGGAUUGUGACGUUGAAGGUGUGGACCCUGCUGAAUUAUCCAACUCCUUCUGGACUUUGCAUUUCAAUGUCAGGUGGAUAGUGUACCAGCAAUACAACUUAGCCUGAAGUGAAGUGCAGUGCUAUUAAUUAUUGUUUUGCCACUACAAGUGUUCGACAUACGCAGGCCUUUUUUUCUCUACAUACUCACUUGCAGAUGUGCCGAGCCGCGGGUUUCGUUUGAUUUGAUUCUUUUCCAUCCUCUUUACUGAUUAGUGUGUGGUCCGAUCUGUGGACAGGCAGUGCUUUGACUCACAGAUGACAACAGU